AAAUUGACGGGGCCCGCACAAGCGGUGGAGCAUUGUGGUUUAAUUCGAAGCAACGCGAAGAACCUUACCAGGUCUUGACAUCCCGAUGCUAUUUCUAGAGAUAGAAAGUUACUUCGGUACAUCGGUGACAGGUGGUGCAUGGUUGUCGUCAGCUCGUGUCGUGAGAUGUUGGGUUAAGUCCCGCAACGAGCGCAACCCCUAUUGUUAGUUGCCAUCAUUCAGUUGGGCACUCUAGCGAGACUGCCGGUAAUAAACCGGAGGAAGGUGGGGAUGACGUCAAAUCAUCAUGCCCCUUAUGACCUGGGCUACACACGUGCUACAAUGGUUGGUACAACGAGUUGCGAGUCGGUGACGGCGAGCUAAUCUCUUAAAGCCAAUCUCAGUUCGGAUUGUAGGCUGCAACUCGCCUACAUGAAGUCGGAAUCGCUAGUAAUCGCGGAUCAGCACGCCGCGGUGAAUACGUUCCCGGGCCUU
RNAcentral lists this ribosomal RNA (474 nucleotides) under uncultured Streptococcus sp. RNAcentral describes it as "bacterial SSU rRNA". It matches the Rfam family "Bacterial small subunit ribosomal RNA", at positions 908 to 1382 of the family's 1533-position model. The record is from RNAcentral. Lineage: Bacteria; Bacillati; Bacillota; Bacilli; Lactobacillales; Streptococcaceae.